UCUCUAUAUAUAUAUAUAUAUAUCCCUCACUGAAUUGCUGCGAUUUUUAAAGAGCUGUUCUUGUCCCCUUGGAUCUUCCGUCGAGGAAUUGAGUUCAGAGCUGAUUUCAUAAUCAAGAAAUCACCUGGGGAUAUACACAGAGAUGGGCACUCCUGAUAAGAAUCAAAGUAAAGGGUUUUUUGCGGCCAUGACCUCUGGCUUGUCCAUG
Molecule: unclassified non-coding RNA, 208 nt
Filed under: Hevea brasiliensis (rubber tree)
Lineage: Eukaryota; Viridiplantae; Streptophyta; Magnoliopsida; Malpighiales; Euphorbiaceae
Source: RNAcentral